UUUUCUUGGAGGGGAACAUCAUCAUUAACUCAUUCUUAACUACUCAUGAACUCCUUAUGUAUGUCCAACUAGUGUGUUUACACUGAAAAACAAAUAAGUGUUCUGUCUUUCCCAGAGAUG
Molecule: microRNA precursor, 120 nt
Filed under: Danio rerio (zebrafish)
Lineage: Eukaryota; Metazoa; Chordata; Actinopteri; Cypriniformes; Danionidae
Description: MIR480 microRNA precursor family
Rfam family: MIR480 microRNA precursor family
Source: Rfam by way of RNAcentral